Molecule: ribosomal RNA, 468 nt
Filed under: uncultured bacterium
Lineage: Bacteria
Description: partial 16S ribosomal RNA
Rfam family: Bacterial small subunit ribosomal RNA
Source: RNAcentral
GACGAACGCUGGCGGCGUGCUUAACACAUGCAAGUCGAACGGAAAGGCCCUGCUUUUGUGGGGUGCUCGAGUGGCGAACGGGUGAGUAACACGUGAGUAACCUGCCCUUGACUUUGGGAUAACUUCAGGAAACUGGGGCUAAUACCGGAUAGGAGCUCCUGCUGCAUGGUGGGGGUUGGAAAGUUUCGGCGGUUGGGGAUGGACUCGCGGCUUAUCAGCUUGUUGGUGGGGUAGUGGCUUACCAAGGCUUUGACGGGUAGCCGGCCUGCGCGGGUUGCCGGCCACAUUGGGACUGAGAUACGGCCCAGACUCCUACGGGAGGCAGCAGUGGGGAAUAUUGCACAAUGGGCGGAAGCCUGAUGCAGCAACGCCGCGUGCGGGAUGACGGCCUUCGGGUUGUAAACCGCUUUCGCCUGUGACGAAGCGUGAGUGACGGUAAUGGGUAAAGAAGCACCGGCUAACUACGUG